GCACUCCCCAGCUCCUCCUGGAGACUGGGGAGUGCAGGAGAAAGCACUCGUUUUACUCUAUUUACACUUACUGCAACGCUCUUCUCCUUGCAUCUUCCAUUGUGGCUUUUCCUAACGUCAGUCCCUACUUACACGUUAUGGGCACAGAUGCCACACUCGUUGUCAUAAGUAAAUCCGUCUGUGCCGCAGACUGGGAGCAGGAUCCGUGGGCAGCGUACCAUACGUUUACCACCAUUAAAUGUUCUUGCUGGGUAUUGACUGCAGU
Long non-coding RNA from Oxyura jamaicensis (ruddy duck), 265 nucleotides. RefSeq lists it as uncharacterized. NCBI's taxonomy places the organism in Eukaryota, Metazoa, Chordata, Aves, Anseriformes, Anatidae. The record is from RefSeq and is a predicted model, not a curated record. The transcript has 2 exons.